UGGGGAAUAUUGCACAAUGGGCGCAAGCCUGAUGCAGCCAUGCCGCGUGUAUGAAGAAGGCCUUCGGGUUGUAAAGUACUUCCAGCGGGGAGGAAGGGAGUAAAGUUAAUACCUUUACUCAUUGACGUUACCCGCAGAAGAAGCACCGGCUAACUCCGUGCCAGCAGCCGCGGUAAUACGGCGGGUGCAAGCAUUAAUCGGAAUUACUGGGCGUAAAGCGCACGCCGGCGGUUUGUUAAGUCAGAUGUGAAAUCCCCGGGCUCAACCUGGGAACUGCAUCUGAUACGGGCAAGCUUGAGUCUCGUGGAGGGGGGUAGAAUUCCAGGUGUAGCGGUGAAAUGCGUAGAGAUCUGGAGGAAAACCGGUGGCGAAGGCGGCCCCCUGGACGAAGACUGAAGCUCAGGUGCGAAAGCGUGGGGAGCAAACAGG
RNAcentral lists this ribosomal RNA (429 nucleotides) under Chloroflexota bacterium. RNAcentral's name for it is "Chloroflexi bacterium partial 16S ribosomal RNA". It matches the Rfam family "Bacterial small subunit ribosomal RNA", at positions 355 to 776 of the family's 1533-position model. The record is from RNAcentral. Lineage: Bacteria; Bacillati; Chloroflexota.